ACAGUGUCGUAUGAGGGAACACAGAGAAGUGGCACCAGGGCAGGCACAGAACAGAAACCAAACAAAUGGCAAAUCUUAAUGAAAGACAUAACCAGAAUAAACAAGAACAUAAAAUAUUAUAAAUAAACAAAACACAAAGUCAUCAGACUCAGGACUAUGACAAAAUUUACCUUGGAUCAUCUUUGCAUCCUGUGAGAAUCACCUUAACUUCUCUGUAUUCUUCCAGUUGAUCCUGCAGUGCCAUCCUGCACAGAAGGACUCUUUCUGCCCAAGUUUCUUCCUCCAACACCAGCCAACGGAGCUCAGCUCUACAACAAUGUCAGUCAGACUCUGGAAAUUAACAUCACUGCACAGGCACUUAACUCCACGUUAUUAAGUUACAUAUCUGACUCCAGUGCUGAUGUACAAUAUUACAGUCAGGUGUCAAUUGAGACGACACAGGUCUCUGAGCUGCUCUACAGCGGGCCGUACAAUUUAACCAGCAGUACAUCAGGACCAGGACAGUUCAUCCUGAGAUGGACACCAUCUGAAAGUGAAGAUGGACGAAGCCUCCCCAUCUGUUUUGUUGUCCAGGCAGUUUUCAAGUCAGUCUCAUGUUUCAUAUAAAUGACUCUGUAGAAAGUUAAAAUAUUUUUUAUCUUUUGAGAUUACAGUUGUUGUCAGAAGGCAACAUAUAAACCAGGAACCUUCCAUGUUUUGAAAACAUGCUAAAUUAAAAUACAAAGUGUCCUUGGUUAAGUGACUUGAAGUUGUCAUGUGAUUGAAGGGCUAUAU
Oreochromis aureus is the source of this 774-nucleotide long non-coding RNA. The record is from Ensembl. Lineage: Eukaryota; Metazoa; Chordata; Actinopteri; Cichliformes; Cichlidae.